Molecule: ribosomal RNA, 253 nt
Filed under: uncultured bacterium
Lineage: Bacteria
Description: partial 16S ribosomal RNA
Rfam family: Bacterial small subunit ribosomal RNA
Source: RNAcentral
UACGGAGGGGGCGAGCGUUAUUCGGAAUUACUGGGCGUAAAGCGCACGUAGGCGGCUUUGUAAGUUAGAGGUGAAAGCCCGGGGCUCAACUCCGGAAUUGCCUUUAAGACUGCAUCGCUAGAAUUGUGGAGAGGUAAGUGGAAUUCCGAGUGUAGAGGUGAAAUUCGUAGAUAUUAGGAAGAACACCGGUGGCGAAGGCGGCCCACUGGAUCGGUACUGACGCUGAGGUGCGAAAGCGUGGGGAGCAAACAGG